This 243-nucleotide ribosomal RNA is filed under the name uncultured bacterium. RNAcentral's name for it is "partial 16S ribosomal RNA". It matches the Rfam family "Bacterial small subunit ribosomal RNA", at positions 118 to 348 of the family's 1533-position model. The record is from RNAcentral.
UGGGUAACCUGCCCGGAUGUGGGGAAUACCUCGGGGAAACUCGAGCUAAUACCGCAUGACAUCUUCGGGACGAAAGUCCUGAUGAUCAAAGCGGGGUCGCAAGAUCUCGCGCUUCCGGAUGGGCCCGCGCCCGAUUAGCUAGUUGGCGAGGCAACGGCUCACCAAGGCAACGAUCGGUAGCCGGCCUGAGAGGGUGAUCGGCCACACCGGAACUGAGACACGGUCCGGACUCCGUAGGGACGG